CUUUGGUCCAAUGAUUGGAUCCAUUAGAAUUACCUAGGGAAUUUUUAAACUAUGAAAUUCUGAGUUCCAUUCUAGAAGAUUCUGAUUCAAUAUCUUUAGGAUCUGAGAUGCAGUUGACUUUGGUACUGCCUUAGGCUGCAUCGAUAGAGGCCCGAUAGGGAAAGCAAGAUAUUCUCCAGCUUGAAACUCUGUCUCUAGGGAAGACACCCUGCUGCCCAGGAACAUUCAGAGCUAAGGGAUUGUAACACUACAGUAACCCCAUGCCCUAUAACAGGGAAAAGAUACUCACUCUAUUUAAUCUUCAGACCAAGUUUUAAGCAUCCAGCUGUC
Non-coding RNA from Microcebus murinus (gray mouse lemur), 330 nucleotides. NCBI's taxonomy places the organism in Eukaryota, Metazoa, Chordata, Mammalia, Primates, Cheirogaleidae. The record is from RefSeq and is a predicted model, not a curated record.